Molecule: long non-coding RNA, 304 nt
Filed under: Nicotiana benthamiana
Lineage: Eukaryota; Viridiplantae; Streptophyta; Magnoliopsida; Solanales; Solanaceae
Description: long non-coding RNA (NBEN_LNC041196)
Source: RNAcentral
GCAUCAGCUAGUGUAGCCAUUUCUACUUCUUAAAGAUCUAAAGAUUGAUAAAUAGUAGAAUACCAAAAGUGAGGACCUCCUAAUUUCAUAGUAGGAUUUAACAUAGCAGACACACCAAAUAUAGAAGGGAUUGGAAAAAAAUAUUUUUUAAACUUCUUUUUCAUUUCAGUUAUUGCAAUUUCAUAAAUUUCCCCUACCUCGUUAAAAUCAACAAACAAAUUAGCAAGUGUGGCAAUAUAAACUAAACAGUUAGAAAUAGUUGGAUAAUAUUGGCCAGAUAAAGCAUUUAUAGCCACAUGAAAAU